This 1081-nucleotide long non-coding RNA is filed under the name Arabidopsis lyrata. RNAcentral's name for it is "long non-coding RNA (ALYR_LNC002327)". The record is from RNAcentral. Lineage: Eukaryota; Viridiplantae; Streptophyta; Magnoliopsida; Brassicales; Brassicaceae.
CGAAGUUGCACCUCUGCUCUCAAGACCUGCUUCACAAUGUUCAAGAUUCUAUAAUCACAGCUCCACUGGCUAAAAGAUUAGUUUUUGUUUGUUUUUUUUCUCAAAGAAAUUUGCAAAAAAUGACAAGUUUUUUAUAAGCGUUAUCGACAAAACAAAACUAUGACAUUUUUAGAAAUUGAACCGUUGUGUCUCCUAGUGUUUUCUUAAAAAAAUCAAAAGUUCAAAAAAGAUCUGUAAGAGUGUGGUCCUCACUCCUCACAUGUAAAUUAGAUUGUAGUGUUUAUGGAAUAUAUAAUUUAUAGAUUGGUCCUUUUCUCUAUUUUUUUUCCCAUUUCAUUAUUGAGAAAUAUAUAUAUAUAUAUGCCAUUUUGAUAUGAAGGAAAUAAACAACACACCAUUGGUUUUCUAUAUCUCUCCUUAUCUUCAAAUUGUCAUUAUCUUUUAAUAAAAAGAGGUGCAAACUUUUUAUUCACUUUGUGGUCUGGAGAGCACUCAAAAUACUGUUUAUAUAAAAUGAUUGAAGAUAUUUAGAUCCAAGCACGUUGGAUAGGGAUAUGAGUUAAUUAAGAAAUUAGAAAGCCUAAUGGUGUUGAUUUAGUAAAAACAUUAACAACUUAAAUGCCAGAUAAUUAGCUGUUAACAGACAUACCGACAAAGAAUUUUAAGUAAUAAAGUAGCAUAAAGCUAUCUGAUUUGUCAGAAUGUAAAAAACGAGUCCAAGUUGACUCCUUCGAGCUUUGAUUCUCGUUCCAAUAAUACUUCCUCCACCAUCUCUCCUCCUCUCUUAGAUCUAAGAAACAGAGAAAACAAGAGAGAAAGAAUGAGAAAGGGAGUUCUAACUCCUGACAGAGAUCGUCAGAUUAUGGAACAUGAGUUGCAGGAAACUGGUUUUAGUCCAGAAUCAGAGAAAGUCAAGAACAAGAAUUUUGAAGAAGAUGAAGAAGAAGAGGAUGAAUCUGUGGAGAAGAUCUUUGAGAGUAGAGAAGUACCUUCGUGGACGAAGCAGUUGACGUUGAGGGCUUUUGUGGUGAGCUUUAUGCUUAGCAUCUUGUUUAGCUUCAUUGUUAUGAAGCUUAACCUC